UACGGGGGGGGCAAGCGUUGUUCGGAAUUACUGGGCGUAAAGGCUCGUAGGUGGCCAACUAAGUCAGACGUGAAAUCCCUCGGCUUAACCGGGGAACUGCGUCUGAUACUGGAUGGCUUGAGUUCGGGAGAGGGAUGCGGAAUUCCAGGUGUAGCGGUGAAAUGCGUAGAUAUCUGGAGGAACACCGGUGGCGAAGGCGGCAUCCUGGACCGACACUGACGCUGGAGGAGCGAAAGCCAGGGGAGCAAACGGGG
This 254-nucleotide ribosomal RNA is filed under the name uncultured bacterium. RNAcentral's name for it is "partial 16S ribosomal RNA". It matches the Rfam family "Bacterial small subunit ribosomal RNA", at positions 524 to 777 of the family's 1533-position model. The record is from RNAcentral.